AGAGUUUGAUUCUGGCUCAGAACGAACGCUGGCGGCGUGGAUAAGACAUGCAAGUCGAACGGGAGAAUUGCUAGCUUGCUAAUAAUUCUCUAGUGGCGCACGGGUGAGUAACACGUGAGUAACCUGCCUCUUAGUGGGGGAUAGCCCUGGGAAACCGGGAUUAAUACCGCAUACGAUUGAAAGAUCAAAGCAGCAAUGCGCUAGGAGAUGGGCUCGCGGCCUAUUAGUUAGUUGGUGAGGUAACGGCUCACCAAGGCGAUGACGGGUAGCCGGUCUGAGAGGAUGUCCGGCCACACUGGAACUGAGACACGGUCCAGACACCUACGGGUGGCAGCAGUCGAGAAUCAUUCACAAUGGGGGCAACCCUGAUGGUGCGACGCCGCGUGGGGGAAUGAAGGUCUUCGGAUUGUAAACCCCUGUCAUGUGGGAGCAAAUUAAAAAGAUAGUACCACAAGAGGAAGAGACGGCUAACUCUGUGCCAGCAGCCGCGGUAAUACAGAGGUCUCAAGCGUUGUUCGGAAUCACUGGGCGUAAAGCGUGCGUAGGCUGUUUCGUAAGUCGUGUGUGAAAGGCAGGGGCUCAACCCCUGGAUUGCACAUGAUACUGCGAGACUAGAGUAAUGGAGGGGGAACCGGAAUUCUCGGUGUAGCAGUGAAAUGCGUAGAUAUCGAGAGGAACACUCGUGGCGAAGGCGGGUUCCUGGACAUUAACUGACGCUGAGGCACGAAGGCCAGGGGAGCGAAAGGGAUUAGAUACCCCUGUAGUCCUGGCAGUAAACGGUGCACGCUUGGUGUGCGGGGAAUCGACCCCCUGCGUGCCGGAGCUAACGCGUUAAGCGUGCCGCCUGGGGAGUACGGUCGCAAGAUUAAAACUCAAAGAAAUUGACGGGGACCCGCACAAGCGGUGGAGUAUGUGGCUUAAUUCGAUGCAACGCGAAGAACCUUACCUGGGCUUGACAUGUAAUGAACAACAUGUGAAAGCAUGCGACUCUUCGGAGGCGUUACACAGGUGCUGCAUGGCCGUCGUCAGCUCGUGUCGUGAGAUGUUUGGUUAAGUCCAGCAACGAGCGCAACCCCUGUUGCCAGUUACCAUCGAGUAAUGUCGGGGACUCUGGCGAGACUGCCCAGAUCAACUGGGAGGAAGGUGGGGACGACGUCAGGUCAGUAUGGCCCUUAUGCCCAGGGCUGCACACGUACUACAAUGCCCAGUACAGAGGGGGCCGAAGCCGCGAGGCGGAGGAAAUCCUGAAAACUGGGCCCAGUUCGGACUGUAGGCUGCAACCCGCCUACACGAAGCCGGAAUCGCUAGUAAUGGCGCAUCAGCUACGGCGCCGUGAAUACGUUCCCGGGUCUUGU
RNAcentral lists this ribosomal RNA (1355 nucleotides) under gut metagenome. Its description in RNAcentral is "bacterial SSU rRNA". It matches the Rfam family "Bacterial small subunit ribosomal RNA", at positions 8 to 1384 of the family's 1533-position model. The record is from RNAcentral.